CGUGCCAGCAGCCGCGGUAAUACGGAGGAUGCGAGCGUUAUCCGGAUUUAUUGGGUUUAAAGGGUGCGUAGGCGGCACGCCAAGUCAGCGGUGAAAUUUCCGGGCUCAACCCGGAGUGUGCCGUUGAAACUGGCGAGCUAGAGUGCACAAGAGGCAGGCGGAAUGCGUGGUGUAGCGGUGAAAUGCAUAGAUAUCACGCAGAACCCCGAUUGCGAAGGCAGCCUGCUAGGGUGCGACAGACGCUGAGGCACGAAAGCGUGGGUAUCGAACAGGAUUAGAUACCCUGGUAGUCCACGCAGUAAACGAUGAAUACUAACUGUUUGCGAUACAAUGUAAGCGGUACAGCGAAAGCGUUAAGUAUUCCACCUGGGGAGUACGCCGGCAACGGUGAAACUCAAAGGAAUUGACGGGGGCCCGCACAAGCGGAGGAACAUGUGGUUUAAUUCGAUGAUACGCGAGGAACCUUACCCGGGCUCAAACGCAGGGGGAAUGCCGGUGAAAGUCGGCAGCUAGCAAUAGUCGCCUGCGAGGUGCUGCAUGGUUGUCGUCAGCUCGUGCCGUGAGGUGUCGGCUUAAGUGCCAUAACGAGCGCAACCCCUAUUGACAGUUACUAACGGGUGAAGCCGAGGACUCUGUCGAGGCUGCCGGCGCAAGCCGCGAGGAAGGUGGGGAUGACGUCAAAUCAGCACGGCCCUUACGUCCGGGGCGACACACGUGUUACAAUGGCAGGUACAGAAGGCAGCCAGUCAGCAAUGACGCGCGAAUCCCGAAAACCUGUCUCAGUUCGGAUUGGAGUCUGCAACCCGACUCCAUGAAGCUGGAUUCGCUAGUAAUCGCGCAUCAGCCAUGGCGCGGUGAGUACGUUCCCGGGCCUUGUACACACCGCCCGUCAAGCCAUGGAAGCCGGGAGUACCUGAAGCAUGCAACCGCAAGGAGCGUACGAAGGUAAUACCGGU
RNAcentral lists this ribosomal RNA (956 nucleotides) under uncultured organism. RNAcentral's name for it is "SSU rRNA". It matches the Rfam family "Bacterial small subunit ribosomal RNA", at positions 504 to 1472 of the family's 1533-position model. The record is from RNAcentral.